Non-coding RNA from Callorhinus ursinus (northern fur seal), 463 nucleotides. NCBI's taxonomy places the organism in Eukaryota, Metazoa, Chordata, Mammalia, Carnivora, Otariidae. The record is from RefSeq and is a predicted model, not a curated record.
ACCAUUUGUUUUCUAUACUAAAAUUUUUCCAGAGUUAUGAAAAUCAUGGAAAUUUGAAAAGAAGGAAAAAGGUGAUUGUGUUCAACAUCACAAGGUUUAUAAUUUGACCUAGGAGACCCAUGUCUGCCCACUAUUUCACCAUGUUAGCAAGCAUGUGUCAGCUCUGAGUGUCUGGCACUAUUCUAGGACCAAUGAUUACAUUCUUACCAUGGACAGUACACCAUUUCCAGAGGUGUUAGUAUUGGUUUCGAUCGCCAAGAUGGUGAGUUGGAUAGAAAGACUGUGUAGUUAUUGAACAACUUUGGCAAGUACGUAAAAUUGAACAUAGGUAAAGGCCCUGGAAGGACUUGGGCCAAUCCUCAAAGAAAUUGGGCCUUGGGACUUUUAAGAAACUCUAAUCCAAAGUUACUGGGCAGUUGAAUGUGUUAGGUAAGAUUAACUAUUGGUAUUCAAUAUCGAUUUC